CUGAGAAACACGCUACAAAAAUAACUUACCAGAGCUCAUCAAGGUGUCAGGGUCAUGGAAGACAGGAAACCAGCCCUGCCUGGGCAAAACCAAGAAGACACAAGGACGAAAAUGCAGGAUGAGGUCCUGAAUUGAAUCCUGGAACAGGAAAAAGAUGCUGGGGGAGCCACUGGUGAAAUGCAAAAAGAAAUGUGGGCAUGGCAGAAGAAGUGGAAGAAAUGAAAAUUCACGAAGAAGAAAAUAAAACUCAGUCAUAAGACCGCCAGCCAGAGGAGCACCACUAGUACAUUGAGGGGCAGAUGAUCCUUGGCUUUCUCAAAUACGACUUUGAGCAAAUCACACAUUAUAUGUCAAAAUCCC
Molecule: long non-coding RNA, 360 nt
Organism: Heterocephalus glaber (naked mole-rat)
Lineage: Eukaryota; Metazoa; Chordata; Mammalia; Rodentia; Bathyergidae
Source: Ensembl